CCUACGGGAGGCAGCAGUGGGGAAUAUUGGACAAUGGGGGGAACCCUGAUCCAGCGACGCCGCGUGAGUGAAGAAGUAUUUCGGUAUGUAAAGCUCUAUCAGCAGGGACGAAAGUAAUGACGGUACCUGACUAAGAAGCCCCGGCUAACUACGUGUCAGCAGCAGCGGUAAUACGUAGGGGGCCAGCGUUAUCCGGAUUUACUGGGUGUAAAGGGAGCGUCGACGGUUACUGAAGUCUGGUGUGAAAGGCGGGGGCACCACCCCCGGACUGCUUUGGAAACUGUAGAACUGGAGUGCAGGAGAGGUAAGUGGAAUUCCUAGUGUAGCGGUGAAAUGCGUAGAGAGUAGGAGGAACACCAGUGGCGAAGGCGACUUACUGGACUGUAACUGACGUUGAGGCUCGAAAGCGUGGGGAGCAAACAGGAUUAGAUACCCCAGUAGUC
This 443-nucleotide ribosomal RNA is filed under the name uncultured bacterium. RNAcentral describes it as "partial 16S ribosomal RNA". It matches the Rfam family "Bacterial small subunit ribosomal RNA", at positions 338 to 795 of the family's 1533-position model. The record is from RNAcentral.